UGGGGAAUAUUGCACAAUGGGCGAAAGCCUGAUGCAGCGACGCCGCGUGAGGGAUGAAGGCCUUCGGGUUGUAAACCUCUUUCAGCAGGGAAGAAGCGCAAGUGACGGUACCUGCAGAAGAAGCGCCGGCUAACUACGUGCCAGCAGCCGCGGUAAUACGUAGGGCGCAAGCGUUGUCCGGAAUUAUUGGGCGUAAAGAGCUCGUAGGCGGUUUGUCGCGUCUGGUGUGAAAACUCGAGGCUCAACCUCGAGCUUGCAUCGGGUACGGGCAGACUAGAGUGCGGUAGGGGAGACUGGAAUUCCUGGUGAAGCGGUGGAAUGCGCAGAUAUCAGGAGGAACACCGAUGGCGAAGGCAGGUCUCUGGGCCGCAACUGACGCUGAGGAGCGAAAGCAUGGGGAGCGAACA
Molecule: ribosomal RNA, 407 nt
Filed under: uncultured Cellulosimicrobium sp.
Lineage: Bacteria; Bacillati; Actinomycetota; Actinomycetes; Micrococcales; Promicromonosporaceae
Description: bacterial SSU rRNA
Rfam family: Bacterial small subunit ribosomal RNA
Source: RNAcentral